Long non-coding RNA from Ostrinia nubilalis (European corn borer), 1230 nucleotides. RefSeq lists it as uncharacterized. The record is from RefSeq and is a predicted model, not a curated record. The transcript has 2 exons. NCBI's taxonomy places the organism in Eukaryota, Metazoa, Arthropoda, Insecta, Lepidoptera, Crambidae.
AGUCAACAUAUUCUGGCCGAUAUUCCUCUACGAUCGAAACCUGAUCUACCCCGAGUACAUAGACCGAGCCUUCCCUGACGAAAGCAACUACAUCAUGCAUAUAGCCAUACUGCCUGUAGUAUUUUGGGAGUUAAUCUUUUUGCCAAGGAAGAUUCCCAUCUCACAUAGGAAGUAUAUAGUGUUCUUCAGCAUGGUAUAUGGAGCUUAUUUGUUGAAGAUAUUCCACGUGAACGCAAACCAUGGACUAUGGCCUUAUCCAAUUCUGGAGAAGAUUCAAGGUACAAUAUUCUUCCCCAUUUUCUUCAUUUUGGCAUACUUAAUGUUAUACGGACAUUACUACCUACAGUGGAAAAUCACCAGGUUCAUAUGGGGAUAUGCAGAUAUGAAGUUUUCAUAGGAUAGUUUAAAUAAACUAUUAAUAAUAUAUUAAUUAAAAUAAUAGUUAUAAUAUAAUUUAAGUAGGUAAUAAUAUAGUUACAUGGCCACUUUUUUCUGACACUAGUUAUAUUAAGUUUUACUAUCGCUCGUUCUAGAAUCUUAAUGUGAUAGAGAGAGACGAAUAGAUAAGAAAUACGUUACAAUAACAUAACCCCCCGAUUUUAGUCAACGGGUUUUUUGUAACAGUUACAAUACAAAACAGUAGAUGUUAUAUUUUUUUACAAGAAUAAUUUAUGCUGAAUGUAGUAAUUUUAAUAUGAACAUCACAAACUUGACUGCUUUUAUUUUUUAUAUAUUUUUCAACUAUUAUUGUUACAUGUAUGUUAACGUAUAAAAAUACUUUUUUUAAUGUAGUUAUUUUUGUGUUGUUUAUAUUGUACUAUGUUUAAUUAUGAAUGUUUAUCAAUAAAUUAGGUUAAGCUUUCUUGCAAAAGAAAUGGGGCACUUAGUUCAGCCUUGCUCAUGACUGGUAAGUCCUUCGUGAGUUUUCACCUAGAACAAAAAUUGCCUUGGAACAAAUCCAUGCAGGUUUUUCCUCGACCUGAUGGCAGUGUAUUUAUUUUCUUUUUUUUCUUCCAUUUUCCUUUCUUUUUUCGUCAUGACUGACAUCAGGUGGCUAAGAUAGAUUCCUGCCUCAGUGCCACAAAAUGGCGCUGAAAGUUUUAGAAAACACUAUUGUUAUAAUGAUGAAUUAUGUGAUUUGGUCCCAAUAUUUCUAUCUUUGUUAUAAAACAAAAAAAUAUAGACGAUAACUUCAAAAGUUUCCUUUAUUUAUAUUUUUUUGUUAAUAAA